Gorilla gorilla gorilla (western lowland gorilla) is the source of this 61-nucleotide microRNA precursor. The record is from Ensembl. NCBI's taxonomy places the organism in Eukaryota, Metazoa, Chordata, Mammalia, Primates, Hominidae.
CGCGCGUGCGCCCGAGCGCGGCCCGGUGGUCCCUCCCGGACAGGCGUUCGUGCAAUGUGUG